Molecule: long non-coding RNA, 1865 nt
Filed under: Canis lupus familiaris (dog)
Lineage: Eukaryota; Metazoa; Chordata; Mammalia; Carnivora; Canidae
Description: lncRNA (ENSCAFG00030016538.1, ENSCAFG00040004795.1)
Source: RNAcentral
AGUGCUGAGAGAGGGACAAAGGACCACACCUUGUGUGUAUCAGCCAAUUCCCCUUGCUGAGAAUUUAUUUAUCCAGAACCUUUCCAAGAGCAAGUCUUCACAGGAGAAAAGAAAGAACAAUACCAAAGGAAUAGAGGAAAAGAAACAAAUGCAAGUACGUCUACUUGGAGUUUAAAGUUUAACUGAGGACUGGCCCAGCCAGAACAUUAUAGAUUGCCAUGAAGUUAGAAAUAAUUAAUGAUAAUUGAAAUAGCUGUGAGUUAUUAGUAGUAUUUGGAUUAUUAAGAUAAAGAUAAUUAUAAUAAAAUUAGGUACUACAAAUAGUGAUUGCAGUAAUGAUUUUAACUUUAAUGAUUGCUUUAAAAGUGUGCUAGAAAUAGAUUUUCCAUAAAUGGACUAAUAAUAAUAAUGAUAAUAAUAAUACCUACCAUUUAUCGAGGGCUUACUAUGCAUCAGGAGCUAUGCUAUGUUCUGCAUAUACAUUAUCUUAACCGAUUAAAAAUGUGUUGAUGAUGUGGAUUCAUGAGAAGAGGGUAUGAAUUUUGUGGGAGUAUAUGUCUAGAAAGUUACCCGAGAAAAGAAUUAGCUGAAGAAAGGUUUCUUUAGAAUUCUACAUAUAAGGACUUUCCAUUAUAACAAUAGCACUUCUGAGGUGCAUCUUUCCAAGAUCAGCAAGGAGAGAAUAUUUGAAAUUGACUCUGAGCACUCUCCAUGGACUGCUGUGCAGGAGGCUCAUUCCACAUGCAUGAAUAGGAGGCUCUGGCAGUAAAAACAACCUUGGGAGGAACCCUUACUCAAAACUACCCACCAAAACUACAGCAAAAGACAUUUCUGCUUGGCUUGAGUCUGGAAUAUGUCAUCUGUUAUCAGAUCCUGAAAAUGUUGAGCAUUUGUGCAAAAGGAGUUCAGCUACGCGUGUAUGCACAUGCAGUGGUGCCUUUGGUCCCUUUUGACUGCAAGUUCCAAAUUUACCAAAGCAGAAUAUGUGGAGGCUUCCAACGUCUGUGCCGUUCUUGGUGCAUAGGAAGGAGUGAUCAACACAAGGGCAGAGGAGCAUUUUGGACAGUCUCACUCCCACCAAACUGACACUGAUUGCCCAUCUUGACUCAGGAGCAUUUGUUCCCGGGCUGAUACCUUUUCCUCAUGAGUGAGGUUCGUGCACACCAAUAUCCUUGGUAAUGCCAAACAGUGGAAUGCUAAUUAAAAUAAUAGGAUGGGAAAACAUAGAGGGUCUUCCUUCAGAGUUGUCGAUCUACUGACUCAAUUUAUUGCUGUAAGUGUGAGCAAAUAACAUGGGAGUUGAAUGUGUUUAAAAUGGGAAAGUUGAGAAGAGUUUCCUCAGUACCUUCAUGUUCCCUUCCCUUUCUACAUAUCAGAACAUGGCCUUAGAAAAGGAUCUAAACAUACUUUGUCCCAAUGGUAUAAAUAAUAAAUGAUUGCUUGGUAACUUGCACUUUAAUAAGAAACAAUGAAAGGUAUCUAUUGCUAUUCAAUACAACUUUCUGUGAUGGUAGAAAUGUCCCAUAGGAAUGUGGGUGGUAUGCCAGAGGGACUCAACUUUUAUUUUUAUUUCAUUUCAGUUAACUUUAAAGAGCCACAUGUGUCUAGUGCCUACCAUAUUGGAAGUGUGGAAAUAGGCCAUUAAUGAUGAGCUUUAAAGCCUUCAGCUAUUUCAAAUGAAGUAUGUUUUUUUGACAAGAGUUUAAUCAUCCUGGCAUUGCUGAAAUGGUACCAUUGCCACCUGAAAGAGUAGCACUGACCAUUUCUAGUGUCUAGCACAGCAGUAUUAAAUCAUAGGCAACAGUAAGAAUGAAGAAUGAAUGUAUGAGUAUAGUGUCUUAGAUUUCCAGUGUUACCUUCCUUUC